AUUGAACGCUGGCGGCAUGCCUUACACAUGCAAGUCGAACGGUAACAGGUCUUCGGAUGCUGACGAGUAGCGAACGGGUGAGUAAUACAUCGGAACGUGCCUAGUAGUGGGGGAUAACUACUCGAAAGAGUGGCUGAUACCGCAUGAGAUCUACGGAUGAAAGCAGGGGAUCGCAAGACCUUGUGCUACUAGAGCGGCCGAUGGCCGAUUAGGUAGUUGGCGGGAUAAAAGCUUACCAAGCCGACGAUCUUUAGCUGGUCUGAGAGGACGAUCAGCCACACUGAGACGGGGACACGGCCCAGACGCCUCCGGGAGGCAGCGGUGGGGAAUUUUGGACAAGGGGCGCAAGCCUGAUCCAGCAAUGCCGCGUGCAGGAUGAAGGCCUUCGGGUUGUAAACUGCUUUUGUACGGAACGAAAAGCCCCGGGUUAAUACCCUGGGGUCAUGACGGUACCGUAAGAAUAAGCACCGGCUAACUACGUGCCAGCCGCCGCCGUAA
RNAcentral lists this ribosomal RNA (498 nucleotides) under uncultured bacterium. Its description in RNAcentral is "partial 16S ribosomal RNA". It matches the Rfam family "Bacterial small subunit ribosomal RNA", at positions 30 to 523 of the family's 1533-position model. The record is from RNAcentral.